Molecule: ribosomal RNA, 579 nt
Filed under: Scedosporium boydii
Lineage: Eukaryota; Fungi; Ascomycota; Sordariomycetes; Microascales; Microascaceae
Description: eukaryotic LSU rRNA
Rfam family: 5.8S ribosomal RNA (bases 160-313)
Source: RNAcentral
CUACUCCAACCCAUUGUGACCUUACCUAUGUUCUGUUGCCUCGGCGGCGUGGUCAGCGCCCCUCUGAAAAGAGGACGAUGCCCUCCCGCCGGCAGCACCAAACUCUUUGAAUUUUACAGCGGAUUACAGUUCUGAUUUGAAAACAAAAAAACAAGUUAAAACUUUCAACAACGGAUCUCUUGGUUCUGGCAUCGAUGAAGAACGCAGCGAAAUGCGAUAAGUAAUGUGAAUUGCAGAAUUCAGUGAAUCAUCGAAUCUUUGAACGCACAUUGCGCCCGGCAGUAAUCUGCCGGGCAUGCCUGUCCGAGCGUCAUUUCAACCCUCGAACCUCCGUUUCCUCAGGGAAGCUCAGGGUCGGUGUUGGGGCGCUACGGCGAGUCUUCGCGACCCUCCGUAGGCCCUGAAAUACAGUGGCGGUCCCGCCGCGGUUGCCUUCUGCGUAGUAAGUCUCUUUUGCAAGCUCGCAUUGGGUCCCGGCGGAGGCCUGCCGUCAAACCACCUAUAACUCCAGAUGGUUUGACCUCGGAUCAGGUAGGGUUACCCGCUGAACUUAAGCAUAUCAAUAAGCGGAGGUAAAAG